RNAcentral lists this ribosomal RNA (919 nucleotides) under uncultured Bacillota bacterium. RNAcentral's name for it is "bacterial SSU rRNA". It matches the Rfam family "Bacterial small subunit ribosomal RNA", at positions 1 to 917 of the family's 1533-position model. Lineage: Bacteria; Bacillati; Bacillota. The record is from RNAcentral.
UGGAUCCAGACUUUGAUUCUGGCUCAGGAUGAACGCUGGCGGCGUGCCUAACACAUGCAAGUCGAACGGAGUUACUUUAGUGUAGUUUUCGGAUGGAUCUGAUUUAACUUAGUGGCGGACGGGUGAGUAAUGCGUGAGCAACCCGCCCUUCAGAGGGGGACAACAGUUGGAAACGACUGCUAAUACCGCAUAAUGUAUCCGGGAGGCAUCUCCUGGAUACCAAAGGAGAAAUCCGCUGAUGGAUGGGCUCACGUCUGAUUAGCUAGUUGGUGAGGUAACGGCUCACCAAGGCUGCGAUCAGUAGCCGGACUGAGAGGUUGAACGGCCACAUUGGGACUGAGAUACGGCCCAGACUCCUACGGGAGGCAGCAGUGGGGAAUAUUGGGCAAUGGGCGAAAGCCUGACCCAGCAACGCCGCGUGAAGGAAGUAGGCCUUCGGGUUGUAAACUUCUUUUAAGAGGGACGAAGAAGUGACGGUACCUCUUGAAUAAGCCACGGCUAACUACGUGCCAGCAGCCGCGGUAAUACGUAGGUGGCGAGCGUUAUCCGGAUUUACUGGGUGUAAAGGGCGCGUAGGCGGGAAUGCAAGUCAGAUGUGAAAUCCAAGGGCUCAACCCUUGAACUGCAUUUGAAACUGUAUUUCUUGAGUGUCGGAGAGGUUGACGGAAUUCCUAGUGUAGCGGUGAAAUGCGUAGAUAUUAGGAGGAACACCAGUGGCGAAGGCGGUCAACUGGACGAUAACUGACGCUGAGGCGCGAAAGCGUGGGGAGCAAACAGGAUUAGAUACCCUGGUAGUCCGCGCCGUAAGCGAUGAAUACUAGGUGUGGGGGGACUGACCCCUUCCGUGCCGCAGUUAACACAAUAAGUAUUCCACCUGGGGAGUACGACCGCAAGGUUGCAACUCAAAUGAAUUGACGGA